CUACUUGUUGCUUGUUGGAAUCAUAUUUAUAUUAUAAAUACAAUAUUAAAAUAAUCCGUUUAUAUAGGUGAGGAUUGAAAAUAAGAGAUUAUGGCGUAUAUCAGACAUUGAGGUUGUUGUCAUACCUAAUUCAUAUUGAAGUAGUAAUCAAUUAUUGAAUUAUUAAAUAUUAAAGUUUCUAAAAUAAUUUCAUCAGUUUUUUUAGCUUUACAAAGAAAAUAUGUGGUGAAAAUGUGUAGUGAAAAAUGAGCGUGGUGGAUUUCCAGAUUUCUAACAUAGCUAAUGACAAUUUUUCAAUUUUUGUUAUAGGUUUAUGCCAGACUGUCAGAGAUACUCAACUUUUUGAACUCACGGCACCCUAAAGUGUUCUCUACAAAUCAGAUGGCACCCUAUAGUAGCGGUUCCCAAUCCAUGAGCCGCGAACCACGGUCGAGGGUAUAAUCCGAGGAUCGGUAAAUUCUACAUUAUUUAUAUUAUUCUAAUAUAAACAUCUAUAUUUCGAUCGAGAUUUAGUAGGUUAUAAUCACAAUUAUCGCUAUCGACCAUAUUAGUUGACGUCACGGAGCAUAUUGAUAAUGACAACCUUAUUACGGUUCAGUCCGUAAAAAAUACACUGAAAAAAUUCUAAUUUUUUUCCUAAGUUUAUUUCUUAACUUAACAACUAUUAAACACGUAUUUUUUACAAAUAUUUAGUUAUAUUUGUACAAAAAUAAUACACAUAAAUAUUGUUUUUUUCGCUCCAAUUGUUAUUAUCACAUCAGGU
Non-coding RNA from Cinara cedri, 763 nucleotides. Lineage: Eukaryota; Metazoa; Arthropoda; Insecta; Hemiptera; Aphididae. The record is from the annotation of a GenBank genome assembly.